AAUAGAUACCCGGGUAGUCCACGCCGUAAACGAUGGAUGCUAGCUGUUAUGAGUAUCGACCCUUGUAGUAGCGAAGCUAACGCGUUAAGCAUCCCGCCUGUGGAGUACGAGCGCAAGCUUAAAACAUAAAGGAAUUGACGGGGACCCGCACAAGCGGUGGAGCGUGUUGUUUAAUUCGAUGAUAAGCGAAGAACCUUACCAAGGCUUGACAUCCCUGGAAGGUCUCCGAAAGGAGACUGUGCCUUCGGGAAUCAGGUGACAGGUGAUGCAUGGCCGUCGUCAGCUCGUGUCGUGAGAUGUUUGGUUAAGUCCAUCAACGAGCGCAACCCUUAUAAAUAGUUGAAUUUUUCUAUUUAGACUGCCUCGGUAACGGGAGGAAGGAGGGGAUGACGUCAGGUCAGUAUUUCCCUUAUGCCUUGGGCUACAAACACGCUACAAUGGCCGGUACAAAGGGCAGCCAACCCGCGAGGGGGAGCAAAUCCCGAUCAAAACCGGUCCCAGUUCGGAUAGCAGGCUGAAACUCGCCUGCUUGAAGUCGGAAUCGCUAGUAAC
RNAcentral lists this ribosomal RNA (552 nucleotides) under uncultured bacterium. RNAcentral's name for it is "bacterial SSU rRNA". It matches the Rfam family "Bacterial small subunit ribosomal RNA", at positions 777 to 1342 of the family's 1533-position model. The record is from RNAcentral.